RNAcentral lists this ribosomal RNA (474 nucleotides) under Triticum aestivum (bread wheat). RNAcentral's name for it is "partial small subunit ribosomal RNA". Lineage: Eukaryota; Viridiplantae; Streptophyta; Magnoliopsida; Poales; Poaceae. The record is from RNAcentral.
AUGGAUCCCCCUACUCCCGGGGUGGCAAAACUGAGAGUGGACGGUGUUGUUUCCAAAGAUUUAAAUGAAGGAUCUUUUAGUGAUGUGUGCAAAAACUCAGAGGGUAUGUUUUUGGGAGCCUCGUGUAUGAAGUACAGUGGGUUGACCGAUCCAGCUACUCUGGAGGCGUUGGCAUGCCAUGAAGCACUAGCGCUGGCAGCAGAUCUCCAGUUGACUAGAGUGGUGAUUGCAUCUGAUUGCCAAGGCGUGGUUUGAGAUAUUCAUGAAUGAACAGGAGGAAUGUAUGCACAGAUAGUUAAGGAGAUUAAUGAGACAACUACCUAUUUUCAGUAGUGCUGCUUUAUCUUUGAAGGACGAGAGACUAAUGUCGAGGCACAUAGCCUAGCUAAACAUGCUUUUGGUCUUGAAGUCGGGCGCCAUUUGUGGCUUAUAAACACACCAGACAUUGAUUGUAUCCCUAUGAACAUUGAUUGA